CCCGGUUUAUUUGUUACUAACAACAACAACUUAGAAACCCUAAGCCAAAUUCAUGGCCGCUCAAACCUGUAACCAAACGAAAAACUUCUUCCUCCUCAUCUCGAUUUCAGACUUCUUUCCUAGAUUUCGUUUGACUUCUUACUACGAUUUUGGCCGGCCAACACUCACGUUUCCAGCCUAAUGAACACGCGACAGCUGCUGCUCAAAAACCUCAUUCGGUUGUGUUCCUCACGAAUCUGGCCUCGUCCAAAUGCGAUUUCGACCGCCUCAAAAACCGGCGACGAUUCUGGCCGCUCUCAAACCGCGAUUGCGACCUCACUCAAACCGCGACUGCGGCCGCUCAAGAAAACCGGCAACGAUUUCGGCUGCAUCCCUUAACCCCUAUUCCGACCUCACUCAAACUGCGACUGUGGCCGCUCAAGAAAAAAUGGCGAUGAUUCUCUCUCGAAAUCUAAUAUAACAAAACCUAAGGUAUUCGAAAUGAAAUCUUAAAGAGAGUAAAGAGGUAUACCAGAAUGGGAAACGAAAAUCCGGCGUGGCGGUUAGAAUCUUCAAGCGUGGCAGCAAUGCUGUAAGACAAAAUAAUUGUCUAAGGAGAGCAGAAGGAGGUGGCAGGACAAGGACAAGAUAUCUAGUAGGUUUUGUUUGUAAAUAUAUUAUAACAUAUUGGACAACAAUUCUAGUUACUGUAAUAAUGUAAACAUAUUGGACAUGCCUUGUAAACAUAUUGUAAUUUUACUUAUAUGUAACUUUUUGCCUUGAUAA
Long non-coding RNA from Lathyrus oleraceus (garden pea), 765 nucleotides. RefSeq lists it as uncharacterized. The record is from RefSeq and is a predicted model, not a curated record. The transcript is spliced from 2 exons. Lineage: Eukaryota; Viridiplantae; Streptophyta; Magnoliopsida; Fabales; Fabaceae.